UACGUAGGGGGCGAGCGUUGUCCGGAGUUACUGGGCGUAAAGGGCGCGUAGGCGGUGCGGCGCGUGUGCGGUGCCAGCUCCUGGCUUAACCGGGAGAGUGCCGGGCAAACGGUCGGACUGGAGGGCUGCAGAGGGACAUAGAAUUCCGGGUGGAGUGGUGAAAUGCGUAGAGAUCCGGAGGAAUACCAAUGGCGUAGGCAGUGUCCUGGGCAGCCGCUGACGCUGAGGCGCGAAAGCCAGGGGAGCGAACGGG
Molecule: ribosomal RNA, 253 nt
Filed under: uncultured bacterium
Lineage: Bacteria
Description: partial 16S ribosomal RNA
Rfam family: Bacterial small subunit ribosomal RNA
Source: RNAcentral